AUACUUACCUGGCAGGGAAGAUACCAUGAUCAAGAAGGUGCUUUUCCCAGGAUGAGGCUUAUAUAUUGCCCUCCAGAUGUGCUAACCCCUGUGAAUUCCCGAAAUUGGAAAACUUGACUUAGCUGUAUAAUUAGUGAUAGUGGGAACUGUGUUUGCACUCUCCCCU
RNAcentral lists this small nuclear RNA (166 nucleotides) under Dasypus novemcinctus (nine-banded armadillo). RNAcentral describes it as "U1 spliceosomal RNA (ENSDNOG00000042569.1)". It matches the Rfam family "U1 spliceosomal RNA". Rfam says of the family: U1 is a small nuclear RNA (snRNA) component of the spliceosome (involved in pre-mRNA splicing). The record is from RNAcentral. Lineage: Eukaryota; Metazoa; Chordata; Mammalia; Cingulata; Dasypodidae.